Molecule: non-coding RNA, 730 nt
Organism: Sus scrofa (pig)
Lineage: Eukaryota; Metazoa; Chordata; Mammalia; Artiodactyla; Suidae
Source: the annotation of a RefSeq genome assembly
AAUGGGUUCCUCCCUCAGCAGAUAAAACCAGCCCUGCCAUCACCCUGCAGCUCUGGCAAGGAGCCCAGCCCCAGGAUCCCGUUCUGUGAUCCGGAAAGAACACAGACCACCCGCCAUGGAGUUUCGGCUGAACUGGGUGGUCUUGUUUGCUCUCUUACAAGGUGUCCAGGGUGAGGAGAAGCUGGUGGAGUCUGGAGGAGGCCUGGUGCAGCCUGGGGGGUCUCUGAGACUCUCCUGUGUCGGCUCUGGAUUCGACUUCAGUGACUACGCUUUCAGCUGGGUCCGCCAGGCUCCAGGGAAGGGGCUGGAGUGGGUCGCAGCCAUUGCUAGUAGUGACUAUGACGGUAGCACCUACUACGCAGACUCUGUGAAGGGCCGAUUCACCAUCUCCAGCGACGACUCCCAGAACAUGGUGUAUCUGCAAAUGAACAGCCUCAGAACCGAAGACACGGCCCGCUAUUACUGUGCGAUAGGCACAGUGAGGGGAAGGCCGUGUGAGCCCAGACACAAACCUCCCUGCAGGCACCCAGGGGACUGGGCUCCAGGGGGCGCUCAGAACCCACAACGUGGGUGCUUCAGGCUCAGGAGCAGGUGCAGAGGGAGGGGAAGGGCUGGUUUCCUGCCAGGGUCUGCGGCUUCCUCUCCAUGUGGCAGCUCCCUAGGGAUCCUCUCUGCACACAUGCUUCUGUGCUUACACAUGCAGUCUCUGAAUUAGAAAGGCCUUUGCGAC